RNAcentral lists this transfer RNA (76 nucleotides) under Rhodospirillaceae bacterium. RNAcentral describes it as "tRNA-Trp". It matches the Rfam family "tRNA". From Rfam's summary of the family: Transfer RNA (tRNA) molecules are approximately 80 nucleotides in length. Their secondary structure includes four short double-helical elements and three loops (D, anti-codon, and T loops). Lineage: Bacteria; Pseudomonadati; Pseudomonadota; Alphaproteobacteria; Rhodospirillales; Rhodospirillaceae. The record is from RNAcentral. RNAcentral also lists the same sequence under 1 other name.
AGGGGUAUAGCUCAGUUGGUAGAGCGUCGGUCUCCAAAACCGAAGGUCCUGGGUUCGAACCCUAGUGCCCCUGCCA